This 253-nucleotide ribosomal RNA is filed under the name uncultured bacterium. RNAcentral describes it as "partial 16S ribosomal RNA". It matches the Rfam family "Bacterial small subunit ribosomal RNA", at positions 524 to 776 of the family's 1533-position model. The record is from RNAcentral.
UACGUAGGUGGCGAGCGUUGUCCGGAUUUACUGGGCGUAAAGAGCGCGCAGGCGGCUGGUCAAGUCCGAUGUGAAAGCUCCCGGCUUAACUGGGAAAUUGCAUCGGAAACUGAUCGGCUGGAAGGUGGGAGAGGGUAGUGGAAUUCCUGGUGUAGCGGUGAAAUGCGCAGAUAUCAGGAGGAACACCAAUUGCGAAGGCAGCUCGCUGGGACGUUACUGACGCUGAGACGCGAAAGCGUGGGGAGCAAACAGG